UAGUCAUAUGCUUGUCUCAAAGAUUAAGCCAUGCAUGUCUAAGUCCAAGCUGUGUUCACACGGCGAGACCGCGGACGGCUCAUUAAAUCAGUCGUGGUCCAAAUGGGCCAGUGCAAAUCCUACUUGGAUAACUGUGGUAAUUCCAGAGCUAAUACAUGCAACUGAUAUCCCGAAGGCGGUGUUGGGGCUUGCUUGCCUUGCGCUGCGCUGCUCUGACGGAUGCUUUUAUUAGACCAAGCCGCUGAGGACUUGAGGGUUCGCGCUCUCUUGUUUGACUCGUGUGAUGGUGACUCUGGAUAACCAAAUUCUGACAAGCGCACGUACUUCUCUUCUGAGCGAGACGGCGCUGCCACUUUCGAGUGUCUGCCUUAUCAGCUAUCAACCGUUCGUUAUGCGCGACCGAUGGCUUUGACGGGUAACGGGGAAUCAGGGUUCGAUUCCGGAGAGGCAGCCUGAGAGACGGCUACCACGUCCAAGGACGGCAGCAGGCACGCAAAUUACCCAAUCCCAGCAAAUGGGGGAGGUAGUGACGAAAUCUAACGAUGCGGGCGCCCUUUCUGGGGCCCCGCAAUCGGAAUGGGCACUUUCUAAACAACCUGUUGAGAACCUACUGAA
RNAcentral lists this ribosomal RNA (615 nucleotides) under Eulimnogammarus verrucosus. Its description in RNAcentral is "SSU rRNA". It matches the Rfam family "Eukaryotic small subunit ribosomal RNA", at positions 21 to 552 of the family's 1831-position model. The record is from RNAcentral. Lineage: Eukaryota; Metazoa; Arthropoda; Malacostraca; Amphipoda; Eulimnogammaridae.